RNAcentral lists this long non-coding RNA (940 nucleotides) under Homo sapiens (human). Its description in RNAcentral is "HSALNT0266243". Lineage: Eukaryota; Metazoa; Chordata; Mammalia; Primates; Hominidae. The record is from RNAcentral.
CAAAGAAAAAGUAUAAUUUAAAGAUGGCUGUUUAAGGAUCAAAUUGCAGCAAUUGGUAAAAGUAGAUAUUAGUCAUAUUUAUGAAGUGACACACAGUGAUACUGAAGGCACUUAUUUCUCAAGAAACAUCAUUUUUUCCCAACAAGAACAUACUACAUCCUAGACAUGAGAUGAAAAUAAGCUUUAAUUUUCACCACAGCAGGGCGACAAUCAGAGAACUGAGGUGGUACAGAUCCAUUAGAGGACCAUAUCCAUGAGUCUAUCAGUCUCUACUGUAGGACAGAGCAAGAAUUUUUAAAGAAUCUCGGUGAAGGCUCCUUUUCAAAAAAAUAUAAAGAUUAAAGCCUUUGAAACGUAAAUUAUUUUUUCCAGUUAUUACAUUGAGGACAAAGUUAUAGUUGCAAAGUUAAGAUUUUUAUAACUAUCUCUAAAAUUGAUUCUCAGUGACUCCCUUGAUCUACAUAUGUUAAGGAAAGAGGCAAGAUGAAGAUGUGUUAAAUAUUUUCCAGUUUUUAAUAAUCACUUUAAUAUAAGGUAUACCCAAAUAAUGGUGAAUUAAAUGACAAAGAUGUUAUAGCAGAUGCUCACUCAUCAACCUGCCUUGAAAUUAAAGGUUUAUAAGGUGCAUAAGGGCAAAGCCUUUGAUGUUGUCAUUACAUUCACAAAGGUAUCUGAGGCACGUACAGCAUGAAGUUCCCUAAGUGCUUGCAACAUAAGCAGCACUAAAUUUUGUUGAAUAAAUAAAUGAAUACUUUUGUAUAGCAUCUGCUCAAAAUCUCUGAUGUAAAAAUGAAAAUAAUCUGAAAAUAUGCAAAACUGAAUUUUCCCACAUACGGUUGCCAAUUCAUACAAUAAGAUAAAUUUCAAAAUGAGAACAUGACAAUAAAAUCAAGUUUCAAAAUGGCUGGCCUUUUAUAGCAAAACCCAUGUUCAAAAAAAG